Molecule: long non-coding RNA, 1278 nt
Organism: Lolium rigidum
Lineage: Eukaryota; Viridiplantae; Streptophyta; Magnoliopsida; Poales; Poaceae
Exons: 2
Source: RefSeq, a predicted model, not a curated record
UACAGCUUGUGUUGCAAGGGUGGGAAGUUCUAGGUCCCACUCUUCGCUGCCAAUGCUAAUGUGUUAUUGUUCAGUUCACAUUAAAAUUCUAUAUGCCUGCAUACGUCACGAUAAAGGCUCCCAUGAGUAAUAGUUCAGUACACAUUGCUCAUUGUGAGCAACUAAGUGGUACUGUGCUGAUGACCAGAUGUGGGUGUUAGACACAACCAUGGCUACCACACACAUCUGUGUCCUAGGUGACACGAUUAGCCACGGACGGGUGGGGCGGUAGCCUGCAUUUUGUAGGCAGUGGCUGCUUUGGCAUCAGGUGCGCCUUGCCAUUUGCCUUGCGUGCAACCCUGCUUUGUUGGUGAAAAGUAUGGCUUGAACAACUAAAAAGAUCAUACAUUUUUCACGUUCAUAAUAUGCAUGGAAGUAUAACCAAAUUUUCAAGCAUUUUUUUUGGCAGAACAAGGAAUAUGUGAGCUAUGCUAUCUUUGUUGUGGGAAAGGUGUAUCCACUUUAAUAGGUGAUAGAUGGCUGCCUUCUAACACUUCACUGCUUAUGGCACUAAGAAAUUUAUAUCUCAAGACUUCCAUUAUGUUUCAUGUCCAAAUACUGUCCCUUUUCACUUAAUAUGCAAAAGUGACAAAUGGCUUGUUAGAUAUGCAAUGUGUAGUGGAACUGUUGAAAGAUAUCUCUUCUGUACUUUACUGCUAACAUGGUGUGUGCCAAGAGAAGAUCCGUGCCCCCAUUCUUUAAAUGAUUGAGAGGGGUUAGAUGUGCCCAAUGCAGUGAAACUGACAAACCGCUGGUCAUAUGUUGAUUGUUCAACAAGCAUUCUUUUCCAGCCUUUCUAAAUGACCAAAGAGCAAGCAUGACACUUCAGUCUGUUUUCCACAUAUGUUCCCACGAGCAGAGUUAUCUGGUGAGGUGUUGAAUGGAUCUUUUUGUCCUCCAGUACAUGUGAGCAUUGUUUUAGCGUGCAGAUUAACCCCUUCUGUCUCUUGCAGUUUGGGUGAUCUACCUGGACAGUUCUGUUUCUGCACUACAUUGGCACCUUUUGGGGUUCUGGACUUCUUGUUCCAGGACUUUUGGUUGCAUAAAGUCCUCAUAUCUUGAUGUAGCAUGGUUGGUCUGGUCACUGAUUUGUAUAGUUCAGAAUACCAGCAGUCUCUACCUAUCAUUGUACUUAUCUACUUUUUUUUGUUCAAAUUGGACAUUGUAAAUAGAAUAGCUUGCUGAAUGUUGUAACUAUAGCUUUCUAGGAGCAGGUUGUAUUGACAAGUGUAUGAUGUA